UUGGCCGUGGCUAAAUAUUAGCCACGGAAAAUCAAUUCCGUGGCUAAAAAUUAGUAGCCACCAGACCUACAGCCACGGCCACUCCCGUGGCUAAUUCCCGUGGCUAAAUUGAUUUAGCCACGGAUUUUACCAUUUAGCCAGUGAACUUGGCCGUGGCUGUUUCCUUGUUUUCUUGUAGUGUUCGGCCUCCGUUCGACACUGAUGGUUGCUUCUUUGACCUCCAUGUGAUCAAAUUGUUCCUAAGAAAAUUAGUUGGCCACCAUGACUUCGCCGGUCGGUAGUGUCUCCAGCCCAAUCGACAUCGGAGAAGGACGAGAGAUCCAGCCUUUUUGCCUUGCUGAUCGUGACCCCAACGUAUGGUGUCCCGGAGAGGUAACGAAGGAUCUGUUGAAGUGCCGUCCAACCUGUUUUUGAAGGUCGGGUCAUAUGUUGGGAGAUUUUAUUGACGCUAAAAGCAAUAUCGGGUCGGGUUACAGUCAAGUAUUGUAAUGACCCGACUAUUUGCCGAAAUUUGGUACUUUUGUUAUGUUUAGUUCCGGUGACUGGUCAUCCCCCGAUCCUCAUGCUUCCAUCGGUGUUGAUGUCGGUUUCAAGUUUGCUAACUCCGCUCCAUGUAGCAAAUUGGCUAAAUAUUGGUGCUGAGUUAAUAAAAGUGACCCAUCCGGAAUGUAUUCUGAGAAAAAAACGCAGUGUGCCAAAGUCUUUUAUAGCGAAAUUCUUCCUGAUUUCUGUGACAAAUCGACUAGUAAAUUAUUCGGAGGAUGAAGCCAGAAUUAUGUCAUCUACGUAUACGAGAAAAUAUGCUUUUGUAUUCCCUUGUGAAUAUGUGAACAAAGAUUGAUCGGAGACUGACUCGGAGAACCCGAAAGAGACCAAGAAAUCACGAAGCCGACGAAACCAAGCUCUCGGAGAUUGUCGUAGCCCGUAAAUUGAUUUUAAAAGCUUGCAAACCCCCUUCGGAUUGUCUGGAUCCCGAUAUCCCGGUGGCUGCUUCAUGAACACAGUUUCCUCCAAGAUCCCAUGUAAAAAGGCGUUGGAGGCGUCAAACUGUCGCAAUUCCCACCCCCAAAUCACCGCAAGUGUUAAAAUUAUUUUCACGGUGGGUGGCUUGACCACUGGGGCGAAUGUUUCAUUCACAUCAAUACCAUCGAGUUGCCUCAUCCUGUUCGCUACCAAUCGGGCUUUAAAACGCUCGACGUUGCCGGACUCAUCUAGCUUUUGCUUGAACACCCACUUGCAAGACAAGACGUUCUGCGACGUAUGUGCAUAGACUAAUUCCCAAGUAUUGUUCUGAUUAAGUGCUGAAAUUUCUUCGUCCAUUGCGAUCUUCCAUCUAGCAUCGUUGACCGUAUCAGAAAAUCUUGUAGGUACUCGUGGCGUGGCGGCAACCUGGAAUGCAUAUUUCGGAUUGUUCUUGACAAUCCCAGAUUUUGAGCGAGUGACCAUUGGACGGAACGACGGUGAUUCUUCGGCCGUUGGAACCUCAAGUGAUGGAACGGGUGGUUGAAUAACCGGAUCUGGAUGAUAUUCGAUCGGGUUAUCUGGUUGAAUAGCCAGAUCCGGACUCGAGUCUUGACCAUCUACAACAGAUAUUGAUUCUUUGAUUAUUGGACCUUGAACUUGCGAAUGUUGUGUCAAACUUGGGUUAACCUCAAUUGUGGCAAUUGGGUUAGCCUCGGUUCUUUGUUCUGGUUGAAUUGAUUUGGUUGAAUGUAAUGAUCUGUUAAUUUCAAAAUUAUCUUCAAUAAACACCACGUCAUUGGAG
RNAcentral lists this long non-coding RNA (1765 nucleotides) under Zostera marina. Its description in RNAcentral is "long non-coding RNA (ZMAR_LNC002267)". Lineage: Eukaryota; Viridiplantae; Streptophyta; Magnoliopsida; Alismatales; Zosteraceae. The record is from RNAcentral.